Molecule: ribosomal RNA, 380 nt
Filed under: Amblyomma sculptum
Lineage: Eukaryota; Metazoa; Arthropoda; Arachnida; Ixodida; Ixodidae
Description: partial 12S ribosomal RNA
Source: RNAcentral
UUAAACUAGGAUUAGAUACCCUAUUAUUAGAAAUAAUACAUUGUUAGUAAAUAAUAUUUAUGAAAACAAAAAAUCAUGGCGGUAUCUUAAGCUUUUCAGAGGAAUUUGCUCUUUAAUGGAUAAAACACCUAAAUCUUACUAAAAUUGGUUAAGACAGUUUGUAUACCACUAUUUAAGUAAUUAUUAAUUAUAAUUGCUGUAAAUUUUAAACAGAAAAAAAGUUAAGUCAAGGUGCAGCUAAAAUUUUAGAAUGAAGUGAAUUACAAUGCUUUUUAGAAAAUACAUUUUUUAAAAGAAAAUUAGGAUUUGAAAGUAAAGAUUUUAAUAGAAUGAUUAAUUGAAUUAAGCUCUGGGAUAUGUACAUAUCGCCCGUCACUCUU